This 724-nucleotide long non-coding RNA is filed under the name Varroa destructor (honeybee mite). RNAcentral's name for it is "uncharacterized LOC111251944, transcript variant X2". The record is from RNAcentral. Lineage: Eukaryota; Metazoa; Arthropoda; Arachnida; Mesostigmata; Varroidae.
GAGCUCGAGAGUGAUUCAAUGAAAAGGUGUACGUUUGUUGUACUAGCUGCGACUUAGACAAGAAAAAAAGGACUGCACCGUGGUACUUAUAAUAUUAUUCGUUUUGGAUAUUCAUUCUUUGCCGGACCGGAACAACACGUCCUGGCCUUAGGUUUAAUUAUCGAGGACAUUCAACACGCAUUAAUUUUGGUCAUUGAAUAAUGGAUUUACAAGGCUCACCUCGGCUAACCCUGAUCUACCAUACCGGAUCCGCCUUUCUACUAAGUUGCCUCCUUUUGCCAGGCGUUCUCGGAUCCCUACUAGUCGCGGAUCCUGACCGUGGUCUGCCAUUACUUCUGUUAGCUCUUACUGCCGUCCAAGGUGUAACUCUUUGGUGGUUCAAUAACAACGUCGCGUCCAAUUUUAAUCCCAAACAAGUUUCGACGGAAACCUAUAGCCGCUGUGCAACAUUGUUCCUUUUGUCAAUAUUUGCGUUGCACGCCGCUUUGGUGCUUUUCGGCGCUCCUCUACUUGAAGACCUCCUUGAAACGUUCUACUUGGCUUGUGUCGUAGCGUUGCUUGCGUCACUGCCCAUUGCUGUGUGUACCGAGUGUACUGCGUUUGAAAUCGACAGGCUUUUCUUCCGAAGACGACCAGACAACGUAUGUGAACGUUCACUCCUUUACGUAGUAUCCUGUACCUUAAUGGGAUGUUGGUUAGGCGCGCUGCCAAUUCCAUUAGACUG